Molecule: ribosomal RNA, 446 nt
Filed under: uncultured eukaryote
Lineage: Eukaryota
Description: bacterial SSU rRNA
Rfam family: Eukaryotic small subunit ribosomal RNA
Source: RNAcentral
CUCACCAGGUCAGGACACGGUAAGGAUUGACGGACUGAAGGCUCUUUCUCGAUUCCGUGGAAAGUGGUGCAUUGGCCGUUUUUGGUUGGUGGAUCGAUCCGUCUGGUUAAUUCCGUUAACGAACGAGACCUCGGCACUCCGAAUAGCGCGGCGGACGUCGCGGCCUCCGGGCCGUCUUCCGCACGAGCUUCUUAGAGGGACCGUCCCCCGCCGGGGAAGGAGGUGCGAGGCAACGACAGGUCUGUGAUGCCCUUAGAUGUUCUGGGCCGCACGCGCAUUACACUGACGCGUCCAACGGGUGACUCCCGACCCGAAGGGGCCGGGGAAUCCGCAAGGCGCGUCGUGAUGGGGAUUGAACGUUGCAAUUGUUGUUCACGAACGAGGAAUUCCUAGUAGGCGCGGGUCAUCAACCCGCGCCGAUUACGUCCCUGCCCUUUGUACACACC